RNAcentral lists this transfer RNA (72 nucleotides) under Actinobacteria bacterium RBG_16_67_15. Its description in RNAcentral is "tRNA-Val". It matches the Rfam family "tRNA". Rfam says of the family: Transfer RNA (tRNA) molecules are approximately 80 nucleotides in length. Their secondary structure includes four short double-helical elements and three loops (D, anti-codon, and T loops). The record is from RNAcentral. Lineage: Bacteria; Bacillati; Actinomycetota. RNAcentral also lists the same sequence under 7 other names.
GGGCGCUUAGCUCAGCGGGAGAGCGCUUCCCUGACACGGAAGAGGUCACUGGUUCAAUCCCAGUAGCGCCCA